Non-coding RNA from Bos taurus (domestic cattle), 73 nucleotides. NCBI's taxonomy places the organism in Eukaryota, Metazoa, Chordata, Mammalia, Artiodactyla, Bovidae. The record is from Rfam.
UCCCUGGUGGUCAAGUGGUUAAGACUCUGUGCUUCUACAGCAGUGGGUGAGAGUUCGAUCCCUGGUCAGGGAA